UUCUCCUGGAAACGGGUGGUAAUGCCGGAUGCUCCAGUUGAUCGCAUGGUCUUCUGGGAAAGCUUUCGCGGUAUGGGAUGGGGUCGCGUCCUAUCAGCUUGACGGCGGGGUAACGGCCCACCGUGGCUUCGACGGGUAGCCGGCCUGAGAGGGCGACCGGCCACAUUGGGACUGAGAUACGGCCCAGACUCCUACGGGAGGCAGCAGUGGGGAAUAUUGCACAAUGGGCGCAAGCCUGAUGCAGCGACGCCGCGUGAGGGAUGGAGGCCUUCGGGUUGUAAACCUCUUUUAUCGGGGAGCAAGCGUGAGUGAGUUUACCCGUUGAAUAAGCACCGGCUAACUACGUGCCAGCAGCCGCGGUAAUACGUAGGGUGCAAGCGUUAUCCGGAAUUAUUGGGCGUAAAGGGCUCGUAGGCGGUUCGUCGCGUCCGGUGUGAAAGUCCAUCGCUUAACGGUGGAUUCGCGCCGGGUACGGGCGGGCUUGAGUGCGGUAGGGGAGACUGGAAUUCCCGGUGUAACGGUGGAAUGUGUAGAUAUCGGAAAAGAACACCA
RNAcentral lists this ribosomal RNA (552 nucleotides) under Bifidobacterium longum. RNAcentral's name for it is "bacterial SSU rRNA". It matches the Rfam family "Bacterial small subunit ribosomal RNA", at positions 145 to 711 of the family's 1533-position model. The record is from RNAcentral. Lineage: Bacteria; Bacillati; Actinomycetota; Actinomycetes; Bifidobacteriales; Bifidobacteriaceae.